AACGCACGAGACCUGCGGACCUGCGGAAGGAUCAUUAAAAAGAGUGUGUACCCCUCUGUAAAAUGAGUGGGUUACCUCCCGUCCUUUGUUGACCUCUUAGGAGGUUAUUUUGAACUUUCUGCUUCGGUGGGGUUAAACCUACCGGAACACCCUCAAAUUCUUAUCAUUUAAAAAUUGUUCAGUCCGAUUUUUUGUUAAUAAAAACAAAAAACUUUCAACAAUGGAUCUCUAGAUCGGAAG
This 240-nucleotide unclassified non-coding RNA is filed under the name soil metagenome. Its description in RNAcentral is "partial contains 5.8S ribosomal RNA, internal transcribed spacer 2, and large subunit ribosomal RNA". The record is from RNAcentral.